RNAcentral lists this ribosomal RNA (433 nucleotides) under uncultured bacterium. Its description in RNAcentral is "partial 16S ribosomal RNA". It matches the Rfam family "Bacterial small subunit ribosomal RNA", at positions 29 to 507 of the family's 1533-position model. The record is from RNAcentral.
AACGAACGCUGGCGGCAGGCCUAACACAUGCAAGUCGAGCGAGGACUUCGGUUCUAGCGGCGGACGGGUGAGUAACGCGUGGGAAUGUGCCCUUCUCUACGGAAUAGCCCUGGGAAACUGGGAGUAAUACCGUAUACGCCCUUUUGGGGAAAGAUUUAUCGGAGAAGGAUCAGCCCGCGUUGGAUUAGGUAGUUGGUGGGGUAAUGACCUACCAAGCCGACGAUCCAUAGCUGGUUUGAGAGGAUGAUCAGCCACACUGGGACUGAGACACGGCCCAGACUCCUACGGGAGGCAGCAGUGGGGAAUCUUAGACAAUGGGGGCAACCCUGAUCUAGCCAUGCCGCGUGAGUGAUGAAGGCCUUAGGGUUGUAAAGCUCUUUCAGCUGGGAAGAUAAUGACGGUACCAGCAGAAGAAGCCCCGGCUAACUCCGUG